Molecule: ribosomal RNA, 253 nt
Filed under: uncultured bacterium
Lineage: Bacteria
Description: partial 16S ribosomal RNA
Rfam family: Bacterial small subunit ribosomal RNA
Source: RNAcentral
UACAGAGGUCUCAAGCGUUGUUCGGAUUCAUUGGGCGUAAAGGGUGCGUAGGCGGCGCGGUAAGUCGGGUGUGAAAUCUUGGAGCUUAACUCCGAAACUGCAUUCGAUACUGCCGUGCUUGAGGACUGGAGAGGAGACUGGAAUUUACGGUGUAGCGGUGAAAUGCGUAGAUAUCGUAAGGAAGACCGGUGGCGAAGGCGGGUCUCUGGACAGUGCCUGACGCUGAGGCACGAAGGCCAGGGGAGCAAACGGG